UCAAAAACAUGUCUUUUUGAAAAAUAAUUUAAAGUCUAAUCUGCCCACUGAAAAUUUUUAAAGGGCUGCAGUAUAUUGACUGUACAAAGGUAGCAUAAUCAAUAGUCUUUUAAUUGGAGACUUGUAUGAAUGAUUUGAUGAAAUAUAAACUGUCUCUUUAUUAUGUAUUAGAAUUUAAUUUUUUAGUCAAAAAGCUAAAAUAGAUAUAAAAGACGAGAAGACCCUAUAGAGUUUUAUUUUUAUUUAUAUUUAAAAUAUUUAUAAAAUUUAUAUUUUAAAUAUAAAUAAAAAUUUUGUUGGGGUGAUAGAAAAAUUAAAGAAACUUUUUUUAAAUAUUAAACAUAAAUAAAUGAUUUUUUGAUCCAUAAUUUAUGAUUAUAAGAAUAAAUUACCUUAGGGAUAACAGCGUAAUUUUUUUUUUUAGUUCUUAUAAAAAAAAGAGUUUGCGACCUCGAUGUUGGAUUAAGAUAAAAUUUAAAUGCAAAAGUUUAAAAUUUUGAUCUGUUCGAUCAUUAAAAUCUUACAUGAUCUGAGUUCAAACCGGGAGA
RNAcentral lists this ribosomal RNA (548 nucleotides) under Leptosia nina. RNAcentral's name for it is "partial 16S ribosomal RNA". The stretch from base 399 to 548 matches the Rfam family "Bacterial large subunit ribosomal RNA", at positions 2473 to 2624 of the family's 2925-position model. Lineage: Eukaryota; Metazoa; Arthropoda; Insecta; Lepidoptera; Pieridae. The record is from RNAcentral.